GCGGGGAACUGUAGGGUCGGAACCAUUGAGCGUCUGAAUAGUUUUCGGAGGGCUUCUGUGGCACAGAGAAACUUCCGGUCCUGGGAACGCAGGAGGAGUCGCUGCUUCCGGUUUAUAUUCACAGCGCCGAAUUUUGCGUUAUGUUAUUGGGCAGAGGGCAUUAUUGCACAAACAAUAUAUGUCUCUGAAGGGGUAGGGACAUGUAAGGAAAAGCCGUAACGAUAAGAAGGAGAGAAGAAUCCAAGAGCCAGGGCUGGUUUUAAGUUGUCUCUGGCCCCCUGGCAUUGCAGGGGCUUCUGGUUUAGGGCAUUAAGUGUUAAUUUCUGUACAUAUGUCAGGGGGUCAGUCCUGAAGCCCCCCCAGCUGUUGUAAUGUGAAAGUGUGUUAAGGCCAGCAUGGUGCAUUCAUUAAUAGAGGCAUAUGGGCUGCUCAAAGAGAUUAGGUGAGGUCAGAUACUGCCAUUGUAUCAGUCACUCUCAGAAAGAAUUAUGCCCAGAAGGUGCUUGGUGCGGAUGACACCAUGUUGAAUGUUGAUCCAACGACUGGUAUUUGCCAUUUGCUCUAUGACAGUGCCCCCAGUGGACGUUUUGGGACAAUGACUUAUCUCUCUAAAUCAGUAGCCAUCACCCUGCAGGAGUCCUUACCCCACAGCGGAUGUUCCAUGCAGUGACAUAUACAGUCUGUUUACACUAAAGCUGCUGGUAUCCUGAGAGCCACUGUGAAGGAGUAACCAAAAGUAAUGGGUAAGAUGUGCAAUUAUCAGCACUAGUCUUCAAGUGCAGGCACUAGCAGUGUUUUCUAACAUGAUUUUUACAUAAGGAUUUUGGACCUGCUAUAUGAUCCUGAUACUUCUGCAUAUCCUAGUGAAAGAAUAUAUUUAAAGAAGCAGACACGCAAAACAAAUCAAAUUGUUCAAGGAAAGUAUACUUCAAAGUAAAAAUCGAACAUAAAAGGAAUAUACGUAUACCCUAUACAACUGAAAAAGUUAUACAACACAAUCAGUUUAGAUAUGAAAAUGUAAAAGGAGAUCAAUUUUUCUUUGACAUAGCAAAAAGAAAAAUGUCUUAUAACCUGCAUAGCUGGCAGAGGGACUUGGUACUGUUAAUCCCAGUGUAGUUACCAAAUUGCAGUAAAAAUGAAAUUGUUCUAUAGCAAUUGAACUCCUAAAG
Molecule: long non-coding RNA, 1169 nt
Organism: Xenopus tropicalis (tropical clawed frog)
Lineage: Eukaryota; Metazoa; Chordata; Amphibia; Anura; Pipidae
Exons: 3
Source: RefSeq, a predicted model, not a curated record